Molecule: ribosomal RNA, 301 nt
Filed under: uncultured bacterium
Lineage: Bacteria
Description: partial 16S ribosomal RNA
Rfam family: Bacterial small subunit ribosomal RNA
Source: RNAcentral
CAGCAGCCGCGGUAAUACGGAGGGGGCUAGCGUUGUUCGGAAUUGCUGGGCGUAAAGCGUACGUAGGCGGCUUUGUAAGUUAGAGGUGAAAGCCUGGUGCUCAACACCAGAACUGCCUUUAAGACUGCAUCGCCUGAACGUCGGAGAGGUGAGUGGAAUUCCGAGUGUAGAGGUGAAAUUCGUAGAUAUUCGGAAGAACACCAGUGGCGAAGGCGGCUCACUGGACGACUGUUGACACUGAGGUACGAAAGCGUGGGGAGCAAACAGGAUUAGAUACCCCCGUAGUCCCUGUCUCUUAUAC